RNAcentral lists this long non-coding RNA (205 nucleotides) under Elaeis guineensis (African oil palm). RNAcentral's name for it is "long non-coding RNA (EGUI_LNC032751)". The record is from RNAcentral. Lineage: Eukaryota; Viridiplantae; Streptophyta; Magnoliopsida; Arecales; Arecaceae.
UGGGCUCAAUAUGGACUGAAUAUCAAGAUGUCAAAUCCUAACAAUCUUCAUUUCAACUUGACAUUCGGCAUCCUUCUAACUCUGAGAGCUUCUAGAUCUCCUCACCCCCAUGCCCUAGGGCAAUUGCCUACUGAUCAUGGAUGGGCAAAUAUUGGAGUCGAACCAGGCUGUUCGAUCCUGUCUCCAUCAUAUACUAUGCUCCUCU